Molecule: long non-coding RNA, 17760 nt
Filed under: Citrus x clementina
Lineage: Eukaryota; Viridiplantae; Streptophyta; Magnoliopsida; Sapindales; Rutaceae
Description: Citrus clementina (C. clementina) long non-coding RNA (CCLE_LNC005949)
Source: RNAcentral
CCGUAACUCAUGAUCCGGGCCUCCGAUUCCGUUUCCGUCGGGUCCCGCGGGACCAGGGUUCCGGGGGCAUCGGGAUGGGUGGGUAGCCGCGCGGCGGUUUGAACGCCGAAAAAUGGGCAUGUUCGGGGUGCGCUCAGUAGGUUUAGACGGUUUUGGGCGUAUCUCAUGAUCCGGGCAUCCGAUUCCGUUUCCGUCAGGUCCCACGGGACCAGGGGUCCGGGGGCAUCGGGAUGGGGGGGUAGCCGCGCGGCGGUUUGAACGCCGAAAAACGGGCAUGAUCGGGGCGGUUUUGCCGGUUUGGCCGGUUUCGGCCCGCCGGGGGGCGGUUCAUGCCCCGGGGGGGACCGCGGGGCGGGAUCGGGAGGCGGCGGACGCGUUCGGUGGGGUUCGGGCGGGUGCGGCCGGAUGGGGGGUGGCCCGGGGGGCUAUAGCGCACGUCCUCGGGGGCCGCAAAGAAGGGGCCGUAACUCAUGAUCCGGGCCUCCGAUUCCGUUUCCGUCGGGUCCCGCGGGACCAGGGUUCCGGGGGCAUCGGGAUGGGGGGGUAGCCGCGCGGCGGUUUGAACGCCGAAAAAUGGGCAUGUUCGGGGUGCGCUCAGUAGGUUUAGACGGUUUUGGGCGUAUCUCAUGAUCCGGGCAUCCGAUUCCGUUUCCGUCAGGUCCCACGGGACCAGGGGUCCGGGGGCAUCGGGAUGGGGGGGUAGCCGCGCGGCGGUUUGAACGCCGAAAAACGGGCAUGAUCGGGGCGGUUUUGCCGGUUUGGCCGGUUUCGGCCCGCCGGGGGGCGGUUCAUGCCCCGGGGGGGACCGCGGGGCGGGAUCGGGAGGCGGCGGACGCGUUCGGUGGGGUUCGGGCGGGUGCGGCCGGAUGGGGGGUGGCCCGGGGGGCUAUAGCGCACGUCCUCGGGGGCCGCAAAGAAGGGGCCGUAACUCAUGAUCCGGGCCUCCGAUUCCGUUUCCGUCGGGUCCCGCGGGACCAGGGUUCCGGGGGCAUCGGGAUGGGGGGGUAGCCGCGCGGCGGUUUGAACGCCGAAAAAUGGGCAUGUUCGGGGUGCGCUCAGUAGGUUUAGACGGUUUUGGGCGUAUCUCAUGAUCCGGGCAUCCGAUUCCGUUUCCGUCAGGUCCCACGGGACCAGGGGUCCGGGGGCAUCGGGAUGGGGGGGUAGCCGCGCGGCGGUUUGAACGCCGAAAAACGGGCAUGAUCGGGGCGGUUUUGCCGGUUUGGCCGGUUUCGGCCCGCCGGGGGGCGGUUCAUGCCCCGGGGGGGACCGCGGGGCGGUAUCGGGAGGCGGCGGACGCGUUCGGUGGGGUUCGGGCGGGUGCGGCCGGAUGGGGGGUGGCCCGGGGGGCUAUAGCGCACGUCCUCGGGGGCCGCAAAGAAGGGGCCGUAACUCAUGAUCCGGGCCUCCGAUUCCGUUUCCGUCGGGUCCCGCGGGACCAGGGUUCCGGGGGCAUCGGGAUGGGGGGGUAGCCGCGCGGCGGUGUGAACGCCGAAAAAUGGGCAUGUUCGGGGUGCGCUCAGUAGGUUUAGACGGUUUUGGGCGUAUCUCAUGAUCCGGGCAUCCGAUUCCGUUUCCGUCAGGUCCCACGGGACCAGGGGUCCGGGGGCAUCGGGAUGGCGUUUCAGCGGGACCGGCGGUAUGAAGCUGGAAAAUGGGCAUGAUCGGGGCGGUUUAGCCGGUUUGGCCGGUUUCGGCCCGCCGGGGGCCGNNNNNNNNNNNNNNNNNNNNNNNNNNNNNNNNNNNNNNNNNNNNNNNNNNNNNNNNNNNNNNNNNNNNNNNNNNNNNNNNNNNNNNNNNNNNNNNNNNNNCGCGUUCGGUGGGGUUCGGGCGGGUGCGGCCGGAUGGGGGGUGGCCCGGGGGGCAAUAGCGCACGUCCUCGGGGGCCGCAAAGAAGGGGCCGUAACUCAUGAUCCGGGCCUCCGAUUCCGUUUCCGUCGGGUCCCGCGGGACCAGGGUUCCGGGGGCAUCGGGAUGGGUGGGUAGCCGCGCGGCGGUUUGAACGCCGAAAAAUGGGCAUGUUGGGGGUGCGCUCAGUAGGUUUAGACGGUUUUGGGCGUAUCUCAUGAUCCGGGCAUCCGAUUCCGUUUCCGUCAGGUCCCACGGGACCAGGGGUCCGGGGGCAUCGGGAUGGGGGGGUAGCCGCGCGGCGGUUUGAACGCCGAAAAACGGGCAUGAUCGGGGCGGUUUUGCCGGUUUGGCCGGUUUCGGCCCGCCGGGGGGCGGUUCAUGCCCCGGGGGGGACCGCGGGGCGGGAUCGGGAGGCGGCGGACGCGUUCGGUGGGGUUCGGGCGGGUGCGGCCGGAUGGGGGGUGGCCCGGGGGGCUAUAGCGCACGUCCUCGGGGGCCGCAAAGAAGGGGCCGUAACUCAUGAUCCGGGCCUCCGAUUCCGUUUCCGUCGGGUCCCGCGGGACCAGGGUUCCGGGGGCAUCGGGAUGGGGGGGUAGCCGCGCGGCGGUUUGAACGCCGAAAAAUGGGCAUGUUCGGGGUGCGCUCAGUAGGUUUAGACGGUUUUGGGCGUAUCUCAUGAUCCGGGCAUCCGAUUCCGUUUCCGUCAGGUCCCACGGGACCAGGGGUCCGGGGGCAUCGGGAUGGGGGGGUAGCCGCGCGGCGGUUUGAACGCCGAAAAACGGGCAUGAUCGGGGCGGUUUUGCCGGUUUGGCCGGUUUCGGCCCGCCGGCGGGCGGUUCAUGCCCCGGGGGGGACCGCGGGGCGGGAUCGGGAGGCGGCGGACGCGUUCGGUGGGGUUCGGGCGGGUGCGGCCGGAUGGGGGGUGGCCCGGGGGGCUAUAGCGCACGUCCUCGGGGGCCGCAAAGAAGGGGCCGUAACUCAUGAUCCGGGCCUCCGAUUCCGUUUCCGUCGGGUCCCGCGGGACCAGGGUUCCGGGGGCAUCGGGAUGGGGGGGUAGCCGCGCGGCGGUUUGAACGCCGAAAAAUGGGCAUGUUCGGGGUGCGCUCAGUAGGUUUAGACGGUUUUGGGCGUAUCUCAUGAUCCGGGCAUCCGAUUCCGUUUCCGUCAGGUCCCACGGGACCAGGGGUCCGGGGGCAUCGGGAUGGGGGGGUAGCCGCGCGGCGGUUUGAACGCCGAAAAACGGGCAUGAUCGGGGCGGUUUUGCCGGUUUGGCCGGUUUCGGCCUGCCUGGGGGCGGUUCAUGCCCCGAUGGGGACCGCGGGGCGGGAUCGGGAGGCGGCGGACGCGUUCGGUGGGGUUCGGGCGGGUGCGGCCGGAUGGGGGGUGGCCCGGGGGGCUAUAGCGCACGUCCUCGGGGGCCGCAAAGAAGGGGCCGUAACUCAUGAUCCGGGCCUCCGAUUCCGUUUCCGUCGGGUCCCGCGGGACCAGGGUUCCGGGGGCAUCGGGAUGGGGGGGUAGCCGCGCGGCGGUUUGAACGCCGAAAAAUGGGCAUGUUCGGGGUGCGCUCAGUAGGUUUAGACGGUUUUGGGCGUAUCUCAUGAUCCGGGCAUCCGAUUCCGUUUCCGUCAGGUCCCACGGGACCAGGGGUCCGGGGGCAUCGGGAUGGGGGGGUAGCCGCGCGGCGGUUUGAACGCCGAAAAACGGGCAUGAUCGGGGCGGUUUUGCCGGUUUGGCCGGUUUCGGCCCGCCGGGGGGCGGUUCAUGCCCCGGGGGGGACCGCGGGGCGGGAUCGGGAGGCGGCGGACGCGUUCGGUGGGGUUCGGGCGGGUGCGGCCGGAUGGGGGGUGGCCCGGGGGGCUAUAGCGCACGUCCUCGGGGGCCGCAAAGAAGGGGCCGUAACUCAUGAUCCGGGCCUCCGAUUCCGUUUCCGUCGGGUCCCGCGGGACCAGGGUUCCGGGGGCAUCGGGAUGGGGGGGUAGCCGCGCGGCGGUUUGAACGCCGAAAAAUGGGCAUGUUCGGGGUGCGCUCAGUAGGUUUAGACGGUUUUGGGCGUAUCUCAUGAUCCGGGCAUCCAAUUCCGUUUCCGUCAGGUCCCACGGGACCUGGGGUCCGGGGGCAUCGGGAUGGGGGGGUAGCCGCGCGGCGGUUUGAACGCCGAAAAACGGGCAUGAUCGGGGCGGUUUUGCCGGUUUGGCCGGUUUCGGCCCGCCGGCGGGCGGUUCAUGCCCCGGGGGGGACCGCGGGGCGGGAUCGGGAGGCGGCGGACGCGUUCGGUGGGGUUCGGGCGGGUGCGGCCGGAUGGGGGGUGGCCCGGGGGGCUAUAGCGCACGUCCUCGGGGGCCGCAAAGAAGGGGCCGUAACUCAUGAUCCGGGCCUCCGAUUCCGUUUCCGUCGGGUCCCGCGGGACCAGGGUUCCGGGGGCAUCGGGAUGGGGGGGUAGCCGCGCGGCGGUUUGAACGCCGAAAAAUGGGCAUGUUCGGGGUGCGCUCAGUAGGUUUAGACGGUUUUGGGCGUAUCUCAUGAUCCGGGCAUCCGAUUCCGUUUCCGUCAGGUCCCACGGGACCAGGGGUCCGGGGGCAUCGGGAUGGGGGGGUAGCCGCGCGGCGGUUUGAACGCCGAAAAACGGGCAUGAUCGGGGCGGUUUUGCCGGUUUGGCCGGUUUCGGCCCGCCGGGGGGCGGUUCAUGCCCCGGGGGGGACCGCGGGGCGGGAUCGGGAGGCGGCGGACGCGUUCGGUGGGGUUCGGGCGGGUGCGGCCGGAUGGGGUGUGGCCCGGGGGGCUAUAGCGCACGUCCUCGGGGGCCGCAAAGAAGGGGCCGUAACUCAUGAUCCGGGCCUCCGAUUCCGUUUCCGUCGGGUCCCGCGGGACCAGGGUUCCGGGGGCAUCGGGAUGGGGGGGUAGCCGCGCGGCGGUUUGAACGCCGAAAAAUGGGCAUGUUCGGGGUGCGCUCAGUAGGUUUAGACGGUUUUGGGCGUAUCUCAUGAUCCGGGCAUCCGAUUCCGUUUCCGUCAGGUCCCACGGGACCAGGGGUCCGGGGGCAUCGGGAUGGGGGGGUAGCCGCGCGGCGGUUUGAACGCCGAAAAACGGGCAUGAUCUGAGCGCACCACAAUUGAACGCCGAAAAACGGGUUUGAUACGGAUCCAGAUACCCAAGUACGUUAUUUCAAUAGAAUUCUCUUCAAUUUAUUCUCGCCAUUGCAAGUCCAAUUUUAGAAUUUAUUAUCGCCAUUUCAAUUCCAAUUUUAGGAUAAUUUAAAUCACUUCCACCACAAUUCCAACCACCCAUUUACAAAAUUAAUUCUAUAUAUAAUUAAAAUCCACCUCCUCGUGGGAUCGACACUCGUCACCAUUAGUCUAUACUAUAAUAGAUUCGUACGCUUGCGAGUACAUUAAAAUUUGCACAACAAGUUUUUGGCACCGUUGCCGGGGAAGUAAGUAAUUUUAAUUCAUAGAAUUAAUUUUUGUGAAUAAUUUCUUUUAUUUGUUUUCUUGUAUUUUUUUUAUUAUUAAAAAAAAAGAAAAAAAAAAAAAGUGAAUCUACAUUUAAAGGUUAUUAUUUCUUUUCUUUUUCUCUUCUUUAAAAUUCUGUAAUUUAAUUUUCAAUUUAUUUUUCUUUGUAAUUUUUUUUUGUUUAUCUUAUUAAUUUAUUUUUAGUUAAUUUAUUUCACGUAUUUGUUUUUGUGUAUUUUUAUAGAAAGGUUUUAAUAGCGCAAUAAGGUUAGUAUCGUAAUUUCUCUCUCUUCUUUAUUUUUAUUUAUUUUGUUCUCAUCUUUAUUUUUUAUUUUAUUUUAUUUUUUGCAUGCAUGGUCGAAAGUCAUUAUUACCCAAUCUUGAACCUAUAGACCUUGAACUUGAGAAAACACUUCGCACACACAAACACGUUAAAAAUAAAAUGGAUUUACAAGCACCACAAGAGAGGUCAUUUAAGGAUUAUUUCAGUCCUUUAGCAAAUUUGAGCACAUCAUGCAUAAGAUACCCAAAUGUAUCUGCUAGGAGUUUUGAACUAAAACCUAGUGUGCUAAAUUGUCUCUCCACAUUUUAUGGCCUAGAAAAUGAGGACCCAUAUAAUCAUCUGAAUGAUUUUCAUGCUAUUUGUCAAACUUUUAAAUACGAGAAUUUUUCAGAUGAUGAUGUUAAACUCAGAUUAUUCCCAUUUUCUUUAAAGGAUAGAGCUCGUUCAUGGCUUAAUACAUUGCCUGCUAAUAGCAUUGCAUCAUGGGAACAAAUGGUUACAAAAUUUUUGAAUAAAUAUUUCCCAGUGCAUAAAACCAAUGCUAUUCGCAGGGAAAUCUCGGAGUUUACCCAGAGAGAGGACGAUCAAUUUUUCGAAACAUGGGAGCGAUUUAAUGGGCUACUCUUGAAGUGUCCACAUCAUGGGUACGAGAAAUGGCACCAAUGCCAAUACUUUUUGGAGGAAUUACUACCAAAUGUGCAAGAAUGGCUAAUGGCAACGAGUGGAGGAGAGCUAAUGUCAAAAAGUGCAUCAGAGAUUUGGGAAUUCUUCCAGCGACAACCGGAUAAUUCCCAACAACGGAGUCGAUCACUCAGGACUACUAGAAGAAUUAAAGGAGUGAAUGAGGUUCAAAUUGGCGAAUCAACUUCGGGAAUCAAAGAAGUCAAGGAGAUGGUUGAAGGUCUUGCUCGACAAAUAACAUCGUUAUCGACUGCUAAAUCAACAGAGCCACAUGACCAUGACUCAUACUCAGAUCAAGCCAAUGCCAUAGGUGUAAUGAGAAAGCCAUCAAAUUACAAUCCAUACUCCAACACAUAUAACCCUGGAUGGAGAGACCACCCCAAUUUUUCAUGGUCUCAAGGAUUCCAACAGAAUGGACCAACAGCUCCAGCUCCACCAAUGCAACAAAUUUCUCAAAUUCCUCAAGCCUCUCAACCACCAUUCAGACCAUACAAUCAGAACCAGAACCACUCUCAACCCAGACCAUGGGAGGAUGCAUUCCAGAAUUUCAGGAAUGUUACUCACUCCACGAUUGAGCAACAGAACCGCACCAUUGAUGGACUACGAAAUGAAUUGAGAGCGGGCUUCAACUCACAAGCCCAAUCAGUUUCAAGCCUCGAGAAGAUGGUGGGACAACUUGCUUCUUCAGUUCAGACCUUGGCAACGACUGUUGAGAAAGGCAAGUUUCCAAGUCAACCAGUGCCUAACCCUAAAGGAGUGCAUGAAGCAAGUACCAAUUCACCACAGCAGCAUGGAGAAGUCAAAGCAGUAAUGACCUUGCGAAAAGGAAAAGAAGUCGACAACAAAGUGGAGAUGCCGGUGACAAAAGAAAAUCAAAUUGUACCUGUGAAUGUUGAGGAAUCAUCACCCGAGGAGAAAGAAGAAACUAACCCACGAGAAUACGUUCCGAAAGCUCCAUUUCCUCAGAGGUUAGCGAAAGGAAAAAAGGGAAAAUCCACAGGUGAGAUUCUUGAAAUCUUCAAACAGGUAAGUGUUAACAUCCCUUUGCUUGAUGUUAUAAAACAAGUUCCAUCUUAUGCCAAGUUUCUUAAAGACUUUUGUACUAAAAAGAGAAAUAUGCAUGUUCAAAAGAAUGCAUUUUUAACCGAAAACGUUAGUUCUAUACUCCAACAUAAAAUUCCUUUAAAAUGCAAAGACUCAGGCUCCCCCACUAUCUCAUGUAGUAUAGGGAACCACACAAUUGAGAAUGCUUUGUUGGAUUUAGGAGCUAGUGUAAAUCUUUUGCCUUACUCUGUAUUCGUGAAACUUGGACUUGGAGAAUUGCACCCAACUCCAGUGGUGUUACAACUUGCAGAUCGGUCCACGAAAAUACCUCGUGGUAUUGUGGAGGACGUGCUCAUCCAGGUAGACAAGUUUUAUUUUCCUGUUGAUUUCAUUGUAAUUGACACUCAACCAAUACAGGAUUCAAGGAAGCACAUCCCCAUUAUUCUAGGCCGACCUUUCUUGGCAACUGCGGAUGCUCACAUUCAAUGCAGGACUGGAAAUAUGCAGUUGUCCUUCGGCAACAUGACUAUGGAGCUGAACAUCUUCAACAUUGCCAAACAACCUCACAGUGCAGAUGAUGGAAUUGUUGAUGUGGAUUUAAUUGAAGCAUUAGUUGAUGAUACUUUUCUUUCAAACCUUAGUGAUGAUCCUUUACAAACAUGUUUAACUCACUUGGGUUUGAAUUUUGAUAUUGACAGAUCGGUCGAUGAGGUCAACGCCCUACUUGACUCAGCAUCAUCCAUGGACACUAAUAAAUGGAAGUCAAGAGUUGAACAACUAGCACCAUUAGAGAAGAAACUCAUCCCAUCAUCAGAAUUACCACCGAAACUCGAGCUCAAACCAUUGCCCAACACUUUGGAAUAUGCGUUUUUGGGAGAAGAAAGCACUCUGCCGGUAAUCAUCUCAUCAUCCCUCAAUGGCGAACAAAAAGGUAAGUUGUUAGAUGUUUUGAAAGAGCACAAAGGGGCAUUAGGAUGGACCAUAGCAGACAUAAAAGGUAUAAACCCAGUAGACUGCAUGCAUUACAUUCACCUUGAUGAAAAUGCUAAAACUACUAGGGAGAUGCAACGUCGGUUAAAUCCUAACAUGAAAGAAGUUGUUAGAACAGAAGUCCUUAAACUAUUAGACGCAGGUAUCAUUUACCCAAUUUCUGAUAGUUCAUGGGUCAGUCCUGUACAAGUUGUCCCCAAAAAGUCAGGAGUCACAGUAGUUACGAAUGCUGAUAAUGAAUUGAUACCCACUAGAGUAACUACAGGAUGGCGUGUAUGCAUUGAUUAUAGAAAGUUGAAUUCUGUCACACGUAAAGACCAUUUUCCUUUACCAUUUAUUGAUCAAAUGCUUGAUAGAUUAGCAAGCCAUGAAUUUUAUUACUUUCUAGAUAGCUACUCAGGAUAUAAUCAGAUUCCCAUAGCACCAAAAGAUCAGGAGAAAACUACUUUCACUUGCCCUUUUGGCACAUUUGCAUAUAGGAGAAUGUCAUUUGGAUUAUGUAAUGCACCUGCUACAUUUCAACGAUGCAUGUUGAGCAUUUUUUCUGAUAUGGUUGAACGAUUCCUUGAAGUCUUUAUGGAUGACUUUUCUGUCUUUGGUAAUUCAUUUGAUCAAUGCUUACAUCAUCUAACACUAGUUCUGCAGAGAUGUAUCGAGAAGAACUUAGUCUUGAAUUAGGAGAAGUGCCAUUUUAUGGUAAAACAAGGUAUUGUUCUCGGUCACAUCAUUUUGAGCAAAGGUAUUGAGGUUGACAAAGCCAAGGUGGAUCUCAUUUCUAAUCUUCCUCCACCUAAAACAGUCAGAGAAGUAAGAUCUUUCCUUGGGCAUGCUGGUUUUUAUAGACGUUUCAUUAAAGAUUUUAGCAAAGUUUCUAGACCCUUAUGCAAUCUACUUGCUAAAGAUGUGCCUUUUGUCUUUGAUGAUUCAUGUCUUAUGGCGUUUGAAAAACUAAAGCAAUUGUUGACAUCAUCACCCAUCAUUCAGGCCCCAAACUGGAGCUUACCAUUUGAGCUAAUGUGUGAUGCAUCUGAUUAUGCAGUAGGAGUUGUAUUAGGACAAAGAGUUGAUCGAAUUCCCCACGUUAUUUACUAUGCUAGUAUGACAUUAAAUGAUGCACAGUUGAACUAUUUAACUACUGAAAAAGAAAUGCUAGCAGUAGUGUUUGCAUUGGAAAAAUUUCGAUCAUAUCUCAUUGGUUGUAAAAUAAUUAUAUUCACGGAUCAUGCUGCUCUUAAAUAUCUUCUCACAAAGAAAGAUGCAAAAGCCAGACUAAUUCGUUGGGUGUUACUUUUGCAGGAGUUUGACUUGGAAUUCAAAGAUAAGAAAGGCACAGAGAAUGUUGUGGCGGACCACCUCUCUCGUCUCCAUUUUGACACAAUUACAGAAUCAUUACCAUUGAAUGAGUCAUUUCCAGAUGAACAAUUAAUGAAUGUGGAAGUAUUACCUUGGUAUGCUGAUAUAGUUAAUUAUCUUGUAACAGGUAAACUUCCAGAGCAUUGGACCAAGCAAGACAAGGCUAAAUUCUUUGCAGAAAUAAAGAAUUUCUUUUAGGAUGACCCGUAUUUGUUCAAGUAUUGUGCGGAUCAAAUUGUUAGACGAUGUGUCCCAGAAAGUGAAAUUCAGAAUAUCCUUUCAUUCUGCCAUGAACAAGCUUGUGGAGGUUAUUUCAGCGCUAAGAAAACAGCAACUAAAGUUUUACAAUGUGGUUUCUAUUGGCCAACUAUAUUUCGAGACACUUACACUUUUUGUUCUUCAUGUGAUAGGUGUCAACGAAUGGGGAGCAUUACGCGAAGGAACAUGAUGCCACUAACUCCAAUUUUAGUGGUUGAGAUUUUUGACGUAUGGGGUAUCGAUUUCAUGGGACCCUUUCCCCCGUCUUUUGGUCAUCAAUAUAUAUUGGUUGCUGUUGAUUAUGUAUCAAAAUGGGUAGAAGCAAUUCCAUGUAGGACCAAUGAUCACAAGGUGGUGAUAGCAUUUUUGAAAAGCAACAUUGUUUCACGCUUUGGAUUCCCUCGAGCAAUAAUCAGUGAUGGUGGUGCCCACUUUUGUAACAAAGCAUUCAAAGUACUUUUGACAAAGUAUUCAAUCACACACAAAGUGGUGACUCCGUAUCAUCCGCAAAUUAGUGGCCAAGUUGAGAUCUCAAAUCGAGAAAUAAAGCACAUAUUAGAAAAGACGGUGAGGCCAGACAGAAAAGAUUGGUCAUUAAGACUUUAUGAUGCCUUAUGGGCAUAUAGAACGGCUUUCAAGACCCCGAUUGGGAUGUCACCCUACAGGCUAGUGUAUGGAAAAGCUUGCCACCUACUUGUGGAACUCGAGCAUCGUGCAUAUUGGGCCAUCAAGAAAUUCAAUUUUGACAUGCAGCAAGCCAGCUCAGAAAGAAGAUUACAGCUGGCAGAACUUGAAGAAAUUCGCAAUGAUGCAUACGAAAAUGCCAAGAUUUACAAGCAACGAAUGAAAGUCUUCCAUGAUAAGCAAAUUAUGAGGAAAUCGUUCACUCCAGGUCAGAAAGUGCUUUUAUUCAAUUCUCGCUUGCACCUAUUCCCAGGUAAGUUACGCUCUCGUUGGUCUGGUCCCUUUAUUGUUCCUACUGUUUUUCCACAUGGGGCAAUUGAAAUUAAGGACCCAAAGAACGGUGUCACGUUUAAAGUUAAUGGUCAAAGAUUAAAGCCAUAUCUAGAAUACCAACCACAUGACGAAGACACCGAAAUAAAUUUGAGUGACCCACCAGAUUUGAAUUGAUUUUUUUUUUCUUUUCGUUGAUUUGAUUUUUCUUUCUUUCUUUUUAUUAUUAUUCUUUUGCUAAUUGAAAUUGUUUUUGCAUAAGUGUGUUUAUUUUACCAUUAAGUUUUCUCUAUUCAUUUUUAAUCAUGAGUCUCAUACUUAGACCGUUCCUCCUGAACAUUCUUAAACCACUUCAACGUGUCAAAACUCAUCUCAAAAGGCAGAUUCAAUUUUGUAAAACACAACGCAUUUGGGCUCUACAACCACCAGAGUUAGUAGCCUAUGUUGAGGGUUUAGAACGCCAACUCAGAGACAUUGAGAGAAGUGUUUACGACAUCCAGUUGGAGCUUGAGGUAAAUUCAAUAAGAGGACGAUUUUAAUUUUCUUUGUGUGUUUUAAUUUGUUUUUCUAUUUGUGUGCUUUAGUUUGUUACCCCGGUGAAGUGGCGGAUAACGGUACUCCGUGACAAUCAAGUCGGUUACUUCAGUUUCCCAUAAUAACUGAUAUUCUGAGGCGAAGAUAUGGACAGAAACGAGAUUCUAGCGAAACUUCACAAGCAAUUCCCUUCACUUCCUCAGAAUGCCCUCCUUACGAUCUAUAAAGCUCGGUCCGAACGCAUGCGAUUACUCAUGAGGAAUAACAUACCUGCUGACAUCCGUUGGUUAAUCGAGGCUAAAGUACGAUCGGCAGGUGAGUUACCUUCAAAAUUUAUUGCAUACAUGCCUGGUUGUGGUAAAGGAAAUUAUGCAAGAAAACGACGAGCUCAAAGAAUUUCUGUUGCUUGUCAUAAGUGUGCCAGAAUGAGUUGCAAUAAAAACCCAUGUUCUUUAGGAAUGAUGUCUGAUAACAUGGAAGAUAAGAUUCAAUUCAUUAGGGAUGGCUUGAAUAAGGAGUCAUUGGAUGAUAUCAUUUUGUCUCUUGAAACGCAUCCCAGUGGAUAUGUGCAAGGAGCGAUUCUCCAGUUAUGGCCAUUAUUCCAGAAAGAGCAUGCACGAUAUAGUCUCGGGAAUUUGACUAUAAACGACCCUGUUUGCCAGUUUAUAAGAAAACUGGAUAGGAAGCCUAUCCUCGACCCAUAGAGGGCGUUCAAGCCGUUUCUGGACGUAAAACCAGAGGAAGAUGUGAGCCACAGUCGCAACUACCUGUAAAUAUCAUUUUACUUUAUUGUUAUUUUAUUUCACUAUUGUCUUAUUAUUUACAUUAUUGUCUUUAAUAAUUUUAUUACUGUUUGCUUUUUCCUUUUUACUGUUUUCUUUUUGACUUGCGAGCCACAUGCUUUACGCGUUAUUUGACACUGACAUAUUACCUCAUACACAACCAUGACCCACUAUCACCAAGACUCUUAAAUGUGAUUUCUUUUUUGUCAAGCACUCACAAAUUAUUUUUGAGAAGUAUCACAAUGUCAGCUACUCCCAAUAGACAAUUCAAGAACAUUUGUGUGCUUUCUGGAUUUACAUAUGGCAAACAUAAAGAGUUCGUUGAGGCAGCCAUAGAUCUUGGUCGAAGCAUAGCAGCGAGAAAAUUACACUUGGUGUAUGGAGGAGGUAAUCGAGGGUUAUCAAAAAUGGUCUCAGAAGCAGCUUUUAUCAGAGGAAGUCAAGUGUUAGGCAUCAUCCCAAGAGUCCUAAAACCAUUGGGCAGUUCGUCUGACUCAUCAACUGGAGAAGAGUUAGUCGUCUCAGGUAUGCAAGAAAGAAUAACUGAAAUGCUUAAUUAUGCUGAUGCUUUUAUUUUCCUUCCAGGAGAUCUUGCAACACUAGAGGCACUUAUGACACUAGCAUCUUGGGCCCAUCUACACAUUCACCAGAAACCCAUCGGUUUGUUAAAUGUCAAUAACUUUUAUGAUGGCUUUAUCGCAUUUCUUAACCAUGCAAUAAAAAACUAUUUCAUUCCUUCUAAUGUGAAAAAACUCUUUAUUUGUGCUCACACUGCUAUUGAGCUACUUGAUAUGGUACAAGCUUAUAAACCGGAGCCAGACCCCUGGACCUUUGUGUUGGAGCGACCAAAUAAUGAUGGUAACAGUAGCCGCAGGAAGAAGUACAAAUUAUAUUUAACUCUCUGCCUGUAAAUAUUUUCUUCUGUGUUGCACCACUCAGGUGAUGUCUUCUAAACUCUACUUCUUUCCUUUACAACAUUGUAGACAAUGUUUCGUUCUGGUUAGGGGGAGGGAAUAGUCGACAAUUGUGGAAUCUUGGUUAAGUUUUUACUAAUUUUUUGUUGUAGAAACUAACUGUUGCUAACUUUUUGUGUUGAAGAUGGCUGAAUAUGGAGUGUAGUUACUCUAGAAACGCAUUUUCAUUGUUCGAAAAAAAAAAUUCUUUUUCUUUAUUAAGUUUUGAUGUUCAUUUUUCUUCUUCUUUUUAUUUUCUCCUCUAUAAAUAUAUAUUUUCCAACUUUUGAGUCGAAGAUGGCUGAAUAUGGAGAGUAGUGCCUCUAGAAACGCAUCUUCUAAGUUAAAAAAAAAAAACCAUUUUUGUUUUCUAUCAUUUUACGUGUAACUUUUCUAAUUAGUUUUUAUGCAUCAUUUUCACAUUUCUGCAUGCAUAUUUUCCUUUCAUGUUUAGAAUAGGUUGGGGGGUAGAAUGUUGUUUAAAAAAAAAAAAAUUUGUGUGAUUUGUUUUAACAUUGGAUGACAUGAUUAAUUUCAAAUUUUAGUAUUUGUAUUAUCUUUGGUCAUAAGUGAUGUUACAUUAUGUUUGCUACUCUACAUGUUGAUGUCGGAGACAAAUAUGAGUUGCUUGAAGGAAUGAACAUGUCAUAAUAAAUGCCAAGUGAGUUGUUGAGCCUAUCACUUUCUUGGAGAGUAACCCUUUUGCCCAUUCUCUACACAGCUUAGCAGUUUAUUAUUUUAUACACGAUCUCUAAAUUGCUUUUGAGUUAACCCUAAAAAAAAAAAUUGUAAAAUAAAAAAAAGAGAAAAAAAAAUGUGUUGCUACAUUAGGAGGCCCAUCUAACUAGUAGACAUGGAUAAUUAUUUAGAGCCCUAAAAGACGAUGGAAAGGCCAUCUUUGAUCCGUUUGAGCCUUUCUAGCCAUCCCUUUUAUUAAAUAUCCAUAGUUACCCCUUUUGAGCCUUUAAAAAAAAGAAAAAAAAAACAUUUUCUUUGUUAACUUAUCAUCUUGACCCACUUCGAUUUGGAGUAUUACCCGAUAUCUUAUAAGUUCCAUCACCUAUUUAUGUUUGAGAAAAAUAUAAAUAAUUAUUUUCUUCAGUGAAGUUAUGUCAAAAAAAAAAAGAAAAAAAAACAAAAGUUGUUGUUUCAAAAGAAUAAAAAUAAAAAUAAUAGGUGAAAUCCACCUUGCAACUUCCAAAAAAAAAAAAAAAAUUCUCUGCAUUUUUCUCAAACAUACACUUUGUUUUCCUUAUUUCCCUUCUUUGUUAGCCAUGUCCCUAGCCUACGUUACAUCCUAAUAAAAGUCCUUCCUGAUUUUAGGGAACUAUAAUCUGAAGUAGAAGCUAGUUAUAUGGGCUAAAAAGAUGUAGUGAUGCAUAUAAAAAAAAUAAAUAAAUAAAUUGGGUUGACUUACAUUUUAUUUGACUUGAGAUCGUAUUAUUUCUAAGCUGAGGGCAUAUUUAUUUCAUCUUGGUGAGAGCAUGUGAUAUCACUUCUUUAUUAUUUUCUCUCUCAAUUACCAUUCAUUGGAGUGACUAUUUUUAUUGGGUUUAAUUUAUUUGUGAGAGUAUCACUACUUCCAGUGAGAUUUUGAGGUUUGACAUGUCAUUCUUGAAAGUAGCUAUAACAAAGUCUACUGGGCUAAUUCAUGUGGAUGGUUGAUGUGGGUGUGAUGUUGUUUUAGACUGGAGAUAAUGCUUAUACUUUUAUUUGAUUGCUAUCAUUAAUCUGAUUGAAUAAACACGAGUGCUUCUAAAAAAAAAAAAAAAUCAUUUUGAAUUUGAAUUUUGUUUUCGCUUUAUUUGCUAGGGACUAGCAAUAAGCUGGUUGGGGGGUGUGUUGAGUGUUAGAAAAUGCAUAUUUAUAAAGGAGAAAACCGUCAUUUUACAUUUCAAGUCUUACUAACAACCCUUACUUUUAUGUAUUUAACCUUCUUGUGAUUUAAUUACAUGUGUUUUAUUUUAAUUAAGUAUUUUAAGUAUUUUAGGGGCAUUAUAGUCAUUUCACAAUAAAGGAGAAAUCAGACGGCAAAACGGACAUCACUUUUGAACUCAGGACGGUCAAAAACCUUAGGAGGAGCAUAAAAGGAAAAAUGGCACUAUUCACAUGUACGGUACUAUUCACGUAUACGGUACUAUAUACAUUACUGUUCACGACACUGUUCACAUAGACAGAUGAUGACGUGGCAUUGACCGAUGAUGUGGCAUUGACUGAUGAGGUGUCACGAUCCUGUUGGACUAAAAUUCUUAUGUACUGUUGAUGGUGACGUGGCAGCAUAUCAGUGGACGAAAAAUCUCGCGUACGGUGCAUGCAUCACACAGGAUUAUUUUCAACCAAACCGCGUUACUGUUCAUUCAGGUCAAACCGUGUUACUGUUCAUCCGCGUGGUCAAACCGUGGACUGUUGACUGAUGACGUGGCGCAAUCCUGAGCGUUCAAACUGUUUUUAAUCCGAUGGCCAUGAUUUACUCCAUGUAUCUAUAAAAAAAAGGGCCUCUCCCCCCUAAUUUGAUAUCUCUGAAUCCAUUUUUGGGAUCCAUUUUCUGUAAUUCCUUCUCCAUCUUGUAUUUUCUUCGUAUUUUAAUAAAUUUCCAUUUUGCCCCUAGUUCAAUUAUGAGUGGCUAAUUUUCUUUCAAGCUUGGGUUGAAGGUGAAGUCUCAACAUGUGUCAUGGGCUUAAUUUGGUAAAUUUAUUUUCUCUUCCCCUCUAGUUUUUGUGGAUGUUUUAACUUCUCGUCGACAAAUAAUACUAAUCUUGUCUAGUACCGCCUUGGUUUCACCGGCCCUCUAGUACAAGGUUAUUAUUAUUUGGCACGAUAAGCCCUUAGCACCAUAUUGAUUAGAGCGUGGUUCAUGAGAUGUGGAUUCCCCCCUCAUGAUUUAAUUGGCAUUAAUACGGAUUAUUUAGCCCAUGAUGCAUGUUGAUACGGAUCCAGAUACCCAAGUACGUUAUUUCAAUAGAAUUCUCUUCAAUUUAUUUUCGCCAUUGCAAGUCCAAUUUUAGAAUUUAUUAUCGCCAUUUCAAUUUCAAUUUUAGGAUAAUUUAAAUCACUUCCACCACAAUUCCAACCACCCAUUUACAAAAUUAAUUCUAUAUACAAAUUAAAAUCCACCUCCUCGUGGGAUCGACACUCGUCACCAUUAGUCUAUACUACAAUAGAUUCGUGUGCUUGCGAGUACAUUAAAAUUUGCACAACAGCCGCGCGGCGGUUUGAACGUCGAAAAAUGGGCAUGUUCGGGGUGCGCUCAGUAGGUUUUGACGGUUUUGGCCGUAUCUCAUGAUCCGGGCAUCCGAUUCCGUUUCCGUCAGGUCCCACGGGACCAGGGGUCCGGGGGCAUUGGGAUGGGGGGUAGCCGCGCGGCGGUUUGAACGCCGAAAAAUGGGCAUGAUCGGCGCGGUUUUGCCGGUUUGGCCGGUUUCGGCCCGCCGGGGGGCGGUUCAUGCUCCGGGUGGGACCGCGGGGCGGGAUCGGGAGGCGGCGGACGCGGUUGGUGGGGUUCGGGCGGGUGCGGCCGGCUGGGGGGUGGCCGGGGGGGCUAUAGCGCACGUCCUCGGGGGCCGCAAAGAAGGGGCCGUAACUCAUGAUCCGGGCCUCCGAUUCCGUUUCCGUCGGGUCCCGCGGGACCAAGGUUCCGGGGGCAUCGGGAAGGGGGGGGUAGCCGCGCGGCGGUUUGAACGCCGAAAAAUGGGCAUGUUCGGGGUGCGCUCAGUAGGUUUCGACGAUUUUGGCCGUAUCUCAUGAUUCGGGCAUCCGAUUCCGUUUCAGUCAGGUCCCACAGGAGCAGGGGUCCGGGGGCAUCGGGAUGGACUGGUAGCCGCGUGGCAGUUUGAACGCCGAAAAAUGGGGAUGAUCGGGGCGGUUUUGCCGGCUUGGCCGGUUUCGGACCGCCGGGGGGCGGUUCAUGCCCCGGGUGGAACCGCGGGGCGGGAUCGGGAGGCUGCGGACGCGGUUGGUGGGUUCGGGCGGGUGCGGCCGGCUGGGGGGUGGCCCGGGGGGCUAUAGCGCACGUCCUCGGGGGCCGCAAAGAAGGGGCCGUAACUCAUGAUCCGGGCAUCCGAUUCCGUUCCGUCAGGUCCCACGGGACCAGUGGUCCGGGGGCAUCGGGAUGGGUGGGUAGCCGCGCGGCGGUUUGAACGCCGAAAAAUGGGCAUGAUCGGGGCGGUUUUGCCGGUUUCGGCCCGCCGGGGGGCGGUUCAUGCCCCGGGGGGGACCGCGGAGCGGGAUCGUGUGGCGGCGGACGCGUUCGGUGGUUUUCGGGCAGGUGCGGCCGGAUGGGGGGUGGCCCGGGGGGCUAUAGCGCACGUCCUCGGGGGCCGCAAAGAAGGGGCCGUAACUCAUGAUCCGAGCCUCCGUUUCCGUUUCCGUCGGGUCCCGCGGGACCAAGGUUCCGGGGGCAUCGGGAUGGGGGGGUAGCCGCGCGGCGGUUGGACACCGAAAAAUGGGCAUGAUCGGGGCGGUUUUGCCGGUUUGGCCGGUUUCGGCCCGCCGGGGGGCGGUUCAUGCCCCGGGGGGCUGUAGCGCACGUCCUCGGGGGCCGCAAAGAAGGGGCCGUAACUCAUGAUCCGGACCUCCGAUUCCGUUUCCGUCGGGUCCCGCGGGACCAGGGUUCCGGGGGCAUCGGGAUGGGG